This 292-nucleotide ribosomal RNA is filed under the name uncultured bacterium. Its description in RNAcentral is "partial 16S ribosomal RNA". It matches the Rfam family "Archaeal small subunit ribosomal RNA", at positions 455 to 747 of the family's 1478-position model. The record is from RNAcentral.
GUGCCAGCCGCCGCGGUAAUACCGGCAGCUCGAGUGAUGGCCGAUCUUAUUGGGCCUAAAGCGUCCGUAGCUGGCCUCGCAAGUCCGUCGGGAAAUCCAGUAGCUCAACUACUGGGCGUCCGGCGGAAACUACAAGGCUUGGGACCGGAAGGCUCGAGGGGUACGUCCGGGGUAGGAGUGAAAUCCCGUAAUCCCGAACGGACCACCGAUGGCGAAAGCACCUCGGAAGGACGGACCCGACGGUGAGGGACGAAAGCCAGGGUCUCGAACCGGAUUAGAUACCCUUUAGUCC